This 253-nucleotide ribosomal RNA is filed under the name uncultured bacterium. RNAcentral's name for it is "partial 16S ribosomal RNA". It matches the Rfam family "Bacterial small subunit ribosomal RNA", at positions 524 to 776 of the family's 1533-position model. The record is from RNAcentral.
UACGUAGGGUGCAAGCGUUGUCCGGAAUUAUUGGGCGUAAAGAGCUCGUAGGCGGUCUGUUGCGUCGGCUGUGAAAACCCGAGGCUCAACCUCGGGCCUGCAGCCGAUACGGGCAGACUAGAGUUCGGCAGGGGAGACUGGAAUUCCUGGUGUAGCGGUGAAAUGCGCAGAUAUCAGGAGAAACACCUGCGGCGAAGGCGGGUUGCUGGGCUGACACUGACGCUGAGGCGCGAAAGCUAGGGGAGCGAACGGG